This is a small nucleolar RNA of Cavia porcellus (domestic guinea pig), 102 nucleotides long. RefSeq annotates it as small nucleolar RNA U13. The transcript has a single exon. NCBI's taxonomy places the organism in Eukaryota, Metazoa, Chordata, Mammalia, Rodentia, Caviidae. The record is from RefSeq and is a predicted model, not a curated record.
GUCACUUCACAAUAAGGAAGAAUCAUUGGGUGUUCAUGCUCUAUGCCUGACAUGUGCCUCCUUUCAACCUUGUUAUGACCUCGGGACCUUACCUGUCUGAUA